Molecule: long non-coding RNA, 856 nt
Organism: Dreissena polymorpha
Lineage: Eukaryota; Metazoa; Mollusca; Bivalvia; Myida; Dreissenidae
Exons: 2
Source: RefSeq, a predicted model, not a curated record
CAGUAGUUGCGAGUUUGUUUCUGCAUCCGUUGUUCCCGGGUUCGAGUCCACGUGAAGACGAAUUUACUCUCAAACUUUUUAAACUCUGCUUUAUAAUAAUUAAGAGUACUCAAAAUAUUAUAUUUGAACUAGUUCUAACAUUAAAUGCCAUUUUUCAGAAAAAUGCAAAUGUGUGAAAUUUGCCUUUUGAACGGAUUGAAUAUCGAAACAGAUUUGAUAUCGUGCGCAGAUUGUUGCCCCCAGCUAUAAACUUAAAAUAAAAACAUACACAUUACAUCUAGUUGAAGAAAUUAUCUAUGGUAUUGACCGUUGUUGUAUUUUUUGUGUGUCUGUUACAAUAAUAUUUGCGUAAAAUUCUCUAACACUUUGCAUAAAAUCUAUGUUUAGUGAACUCAAAUACUCAAAGAAAAAUGACCCGCACUCUCGCUUCCAUUAUGAUGUUGGCGUUGGUGAUACUGGUGACCAGUCACGUGACCGACGCCCAGAGCUGGGACCAGGACAUUUUGGGUCGGGAUAAUUGGAGCCAGGACAACUGGGGCCGAGACAGGUGGGGCAGAUCUAGGUGGGACGGCUCUAGGUGGGACGGCUCUAGGUGGAGCGGUAUUGGGGGACUACGAGGAAUUGGUGCUAUAGGUGGCCACGACGGAUGGGAUGGCGUCAGCGGGGUUUCCGGAUGGGGACAAGGCGGCUGGGGACAGGGAGGACUGAGCGGAAGGAGAAGCACUGGGGGCGUCCGUUACUGAUAAGAUGUAGAACCUGCAAGUAACCCGAAGUGCCACAGUCAAGCCAUGUCAAUGACAGAAGUUGUUGAUUUGACUUUGUUUUGAAAAUUUCAACAAUAAAAUCGUUUAACAUU